This 668-nucleotide ribosomal RNA is filed under the name Colletotrichum kinghornii. RNAcentral's name for it is "partial large subunit ribosomal RNA". It matches the Rfam family "Eukaryotic large subunit ribosomal RNA", at positions 143 to 838 of the family's 3401-position model. The record is from RNAcentral. Lineage: Eukaryota; Fungi; Ascomycota; Sordariomycetes; Glomerellales; Glomerellaceae.
UUGUAAUUUGCAGAGGAUGCUUUUGGCGCGGUGCCUUCCGAGUUCCCUGGAACGGGACGCCAUAGAGGGUGAGAGCCCCGUACGGUUGGACACCAAGCCUUUGUAAAGCUCCUUCGACGAGUCGAGUAGUUUGGGAAUGCUGCUCUAAAUGGGAGGUACAUUUCUUCUAAAGCUAAAUAUUGGCCAGAGACCGAUAGCGCACAAGUAGAGUGAUCGAAAGAUGAAAAGCACUUUGAAAAGAGGGUUAAACAGCACGUGAAAUUGUUAAAAGGGAAGCGCUUGUGACCAGACUUGCGUCCGGUGAAUCACCCAGCUCUCGCGGCUGGGGCACUUCGCCGGCACAGGCCAGCAUCAGCUUGCCGUCGGGGACAAAAGCUUCAGGAACGUGGCUCCUCUCGGGGAGUGUUAUAGCCUGUUGCACAAUACCCUUCGGCGGGCUGAGGUACGCGCUCCGCAAGGAUGCUGGCGUAAUGGUCAUCAGCGACCCGUCUUGAAACACGGACCAAGGAGUCAACCUUAUGUGCGAGUGUUUGGGUGUUAAACCCCUACGCGUAAUGAAAGUGAACGCAGGUGAGAGCUUCGGCGCAUCAUCGACCGAUCCUGAUGUUCUCGGAUGGAUUUGAGUAAGAGCAUAUAGGGUUGGACCCGAAAGAAGGUGAACUAUGCGU